UGGGGAAUAUUGCACAAUGGGCGCAAGCCUCAUGCAGCCAUGCCGCGUGUAUGAAGAAGGCCUUCGGGUUGUAAAGUACUUUCAGCGGGGAGGAAGGCGAUAAGGUUAAUAACCUUGUCGAUUGACGUUACCCGCAGAAGAAGCACCGGCUAACUACGUGCCAGCAGCCGCGGUAAUACGGAGGGUGCAAGCGUUAAUCGGAAUUACUGGGCGUAAAGCGCACGCAGGCGGUCUGUCAAGUCGGAUGUGAAAUCCCCGGGCUCAACCUGGGAACUGCAUUCGAAACUGGCAGGCUAGAGUCUUGUAGAGGGGGGUAGAAUUCCAGGUGUAGCGGUGAAAUGCGUAGAGAUCUGGAGGAAUACCGGUGGCGAAGGCGGCCCCCUGGACAAAGACUGACGCUCAGGUGCGAAAGCGUGGGGAGCAAACA
This 427-nucleotide ribosomal RNA is filed under the name uncultured bacterium. Its description in RNAcentral is "partial 16S ribosomal RNA". It matches the Rfam family "Bacterial small subunit ribosomal RNA", at positions 355 to 774 of the family's 1533-position model. The record is from RNAcentral.